UGACAUUCCAGUGUGAGUACUAGAGGGGACAGUCAACCCAGAGCCUGCCUCCAACAGAGCUUUCUCCCUAACAGACCCCGCUGUGUCAUAGAGGCGCAGACCCCAAAAAAUGCAUAUAAGAUCAUCGGUCAAAUUUCAAAAGAGGACAACUUUAAGAUAUGAAAUAAUUACAUAAAGUCAACAUAUUAAGUAAUCAUUACAAGCAACCGUCAGAGCUGCCACCAUGACCAC
This is a long non-coding RNA of Tupaia belangeri chinensis (Chinese tree shrew), 231 nucleotides long. RefSeq lists it as uncharacterized. The record is from RefSeq and is a predicted model, not a curated record. The transcript is spliced from 3 exons. Lineage: Eukaryota; Metazoa; Chordata; Mammalia; Scandentia; Tupaiidae.